UGCAUAGAUUAUAUAUUUAUCGAGUAUUCACAAUCCAGAUUGAUGUUUUGAUAUGGUGAUUCACAAAUUUGCAGGCCCUUCCAAUUUACUUGGAUAAAAUGUUCAAUCAGUAUGUGGCUAUAAUUCUCUCUGUGACUUUUGUUCUAUUUUUUGGAUAGGUUAUCCCACAAGCUAUAUGCACUAGAUAUGGACUUGCAGUAGGUUCCAACUUUGUUUGGCUUGUUCGGAUUUUGAUGAUAAUUUGCUACCCAAUUUCAUACCCAAUUGGAAAGAUUUUGGAUUGGGUAUUAGGACAUAAUGAAGCUUUAUUUAGGCGAGCUUAGUUAAAAGUCCUUGUCUCCAUCCACAGCC
This is a long non-coding RNA of Humulus lupulus (European hop), 351 nucleotides long. RefSeq lists it as uncharacterized. The record is from RefSeq and is a predicted model, not a curated record. Lineage: Eukaryota; Viridiplantae; Streptophyta; Magnoliopsida; Rosales; Cannabaceae. The transcript has 3 exons.